GAGUGUGAGUGUGUCUCUGUGUGUGUAGGGGUCGAGGUGGGGGGGGUCCGUGUUUGCGAUCUGAACCUUUGGUACCUACAAGGAGGGUGUCUCACCGAACGGUAGCUAAAACCUCACCAGAACCGCGCGGAAGUGAGAAGUCGCGGCCAAAGGCGCCCGCAGAAGCCUCCUCUCUGGGCCGGACCCCAGCCCGAGCGGCCGAAAGGAGCCCCCCGCCCGGAUCACAGGUGUGUUGCUGGCAAUAUGUGGCCCCAGGGGAGAGGCAAAAGUGGAGGUUCCCGAGUCAUCUGAGAUUUGUUGCCUCGGAACAGGAUCCACAGCUCAAUAAUAGUCACUGUACUGUCAUUGUUUAUUUGAAAUCU
RNAcentral lists this long non-coding RNA (362 nucleotides) under Homo sapiens (human). RNAcentral's name for it is "HSALNT0347839". Lineage: Eukaryota; Metazoa; Chordata; Mammalia; Primates; Hominidae. The record is from RNAcentral.